UACGGAGGGUGCAAGCGUUGUCCGGAUUUAUUGGGUUUAAAGGGUGCGUAGGCGGCCCGUUAAGUCAGCGGUGAAAUCCCGGGGCUCAACCCCGGAACUGCCGUUGAUACUGGCGGGCUUGAGUUCGGUCGAGGCGGGCGGAACUGGCGGUGUAGCGGUGAAAUGCUUAGAUACCGCCAAGAACCCCGAUUGCGUAGGCAGCUCGCUGGGCCGAAACUGACGCUGAGGCACGAAAGCGUGGGGAGCGAAC
RNAcentral lists this ribosomal RNA (250 nucleotides) under uncultured bacterium. RNAcentral describes it as "partial 16S ribosomal RNA". It matches the Rfam family "Bacterial small subunit ribosomal RNA", at positions 524 to 773 of the family's 1533-position model. The record is from RNAcentral.